GCAGCGCGGGGCAACCUGGCGGCGAGCGGCGAACGGGGUGAGUAAUACAUCGGAACGUGCCCAGACGUGGGGGAUAACUACUCGAAAGAGUGGCUAAUACCGCAUACGAUCUACGGAUGAAAGCGGGGGAUCGCAAGACCUCGCGCGUCUGGAGCGGCUGAUGGCAGAUUAGGUAGUUGGUGGGAUAAAAGCCUACCAAGCCAACGAUCUGUAGCUGGUCUGAGAGGAUGAUCAGCCACACUGGGACUGAGACACGGCCCAGACUCCUACGGGAGGCAGCAGUGGGGAAUUUUGGACAAUGGGCGAAAGCCUGAUCCAGCCAUUCCGCGUGCAGGAUGAAGGCCCUCGGGUUGUAAACUGCUUUUGUACAGAACGAAAAAGACUCUGGCUAAUACCUGGAGUCCAUGACGGUACUGUAAGAAUAAGCACCGGCUAACUACGUGCCAGCAGCCGCGGUAAUACGUAGGGUGCAAGCGUUAAUCGG
Molecule: ribosomal RNA, 484 nt
Filed under: uncultured bacterium
Lineage: Bacteria
Description: bacterial SSU rRNA
Rfam family: Bacterial small subunit ribosomal RNA
Source: RNAcentral